This 221-nucleotide ribosomal RNA is filed under the name uncultured bacterium. RNAcentral's name for it is "partial 16S ribosomal RNA". It matches the Rfam family "Bacterial small subunit ribosomal RNA", at positions 129 to 334 of the family's 1533-position model. The record is from RNAcentral.
CCUUAGGGACAGGGAUAACACUCCGAAAGGAGUGCUAAUACCUGAUACGAUAAAGUCUUCAUAUGGAGAUUUUGUGAAAGGUGACCUCUUCUUGAAAGUCGCUGCCCUUAGAUGAGCUCGCGUACCAUUAGCUUGUUGGUGGGGUAAUGGCCUACCAAGGCUAAGAUGGUUAGCUGGUCUGAGAGGAUGAUCAGCCACACUGGAACUGAGACACGGUCCAG